This 240-nucleotide ribosomal RNA is filed under the name uncultured bacterium. RNAcentral describes it as "partial 16S ribosomal RNA". It matches the Rfam family "Bacterial small subunit ribosomal RNA", at positions 96 to 334 of the family's 1533-position model. The record is from RNAcentral.
UGGCGAACGGGUGAGUAACGCGUGAGGGACCUGCCUCAAAGAGGGGGACAACAGUUGGAAACGACUGCUAAUACCGCGUAAGCCCACGGGUCGGCAUCGACCUGAGGGAAAAGGAGCAAUCCGCUUUGAGAUGGCCUCGCGUCCGAUUAGCUAGUUGGUGAGGUAACGGCCCACCAAGGCGACGAUCGGUAGCCGGACUGAGAGGUUGAACGGCCACAUUGGGACUGAGACACGGCCCAG